GCGAUUAUGGUGCAUAAGGAAAUCCUUAUGCACCCUGCAUAAAUCCAGAAAUGAUUUUGGAGUACAACUCACAUAAAUCAUUUCCACAGCAAAAUGGUUUUGACAUAAUUUUAUGCAGGGUGCUGGAAAUCCUUAUGCAUGGUGCUGAAAACCAUGAAGUACAUCUAAUGGUUUUGAAGUACAACUCACAGAAACCAUUUCUAGAUUUAUGCAGGGUGCAUAAGGAUUUUCUUAUGCACCAUAACCG
This 247-nucleotide microRNA precursor is filed under the name Medicago truncatula (barrel medic). Its description in RNAcentral is "miR2652e stem-loop (mtr-MIR2652e)". Lineage: Eukaryota; Viridiplantae; Streptophyta; Magnoliopsida; Fabales; Fabaceae. The record is from miRBase by way of RNAcentral.